CUACGUGCCAGCAGCCGCGGUAAUACGGAAGGUCCAGGCGUUAUCCGGAUUUAUUGGGUUUAAAGGGAGCGUAGGCCGCCUCUUAAGCGUGUUGUGAAAUGCGGGUGCUCAACAUCCGACUUGCAGCGCGAACUGGGGGGCUUGAGUGCGCCGAAAGUAGGCGGAAUUCGUGGUGUAGCGGUGAAAUGCUUAGAUAUCACGAAGAACUCCGAUUGCGAAGGCAGCUUACUGUAGCGCAACUGACGCUGAUGCUCGAAAGCGUGGGUAUCGAACAGGAUUAGAUACCCUGGUAGUCCGCACAGUAAACGAUGGAUGCCCGCUGUUGGUACCUGGUAUCAGCGGCUAAGCGAAAGCAUUAAGCAUCCCACCUGGGGAGUACGCCGGCAACGGUGAAACUCAAAGGAAUUGACGGGGGCCCGCACAAGCGGAGGAACAUGUGGUUUAAUUCGAUGAUACGCGAGGAACCUUACCCGGGCUUGAA
This 481-nucleotide ribosomal RNA is filed under the name uncultured bacterium. RNAcentral's name for it is "bacterial SSU rRNA". It matches the Rfam family "Bacterial small subunit ribosomal RNA", at positions 501 to 985 of the family's 1533-position model. The record is from RNAcentral.